UACUUUAUUAAUGGUCAGAACCCUUGAUAGUUGGUGGAGGCAUGCUGAUCCAUAAUAUUUGGAAGCUUUUAUUACCUAGUAGAAGUUGCAGCACUGUGGCACAACAAUGAGUGAAAAACAAACAAUGAAUAAAUAAGACUUUUUCUUCCCUUUUUCAUUUAAAGAUGAGAGAAAUUGGAAAGAGAUUAGCUCUCUAGUCAGGUAAGAAAGUGAAGGUGAAAAGUAAACAAUGAAUAGGACUUGCCUGUUUCAUAUGAAGUUCAAAGUAAGGGAGAUAUGGUCGUGUAGAUAAUAGAAUUAUGAGAUAUUGCUUCUAAUAUAAGAAUUUGAGAGAGAGAGAGAGA
This 344-nucleotide unclassified non-coding RNA is filed under the name Hevea brasiliensis (rubber tree). Lineage: Eukaryota; Viridiplantae; Streptophyta; Magnoliopsida; Malpighiales; Euphorbiaceae. The record is from RNAcentral.